GGAUUGAACGCUGGCGGCAUGCCUAACACAUGCAAGUCGAACGGGACCUUCGGGUCUAGUGGCGCACGGGUGCGUAACGCGUGGGGAUCUGCCCUUAGGUACGGAAUAACUCAGGGAAACUUGAGCUAAUACCGUAUAAUGACUUCGGUCCAAAGAUUUAUCG
This 163-nucleotide ribosomal RNA is filed under the name uncultured soil bacterium. RNAcentral's name for it is "partial 16S ribosomal RNA". It matches the Rfam family "Bacterial small subunit ribosomal RNA", at positions 27 to 217 of the family's 1533-position model. The record is from RNAcentral.